Long non-coding RNA from Morus notabilis, 620 nucleotides. RefSeq lists it as uncharacterized. The transcript has 5 exons. The record is from RefSeq and is a predicted model, not a curated record. Lineage: Eukaryota; Viridiplantae; Streptophyta; Magnoliopsida; Rosales; Moraceae.
CCUCCAAACCUUUACAUCGUUAUCUAUUCUGCUUUGUUUUUCUUGGUCACUUGUCUUAUAAAAGAUAUUCCUGACGUAGAAGGUGAUACAAAGUAUAACAUUCGAACAUUUGCGGCAAAAUUCGGACCUAAAAAUGUUGCAUCCUUUGCAACAAGAAUUAUGCUGCUAGCUUAUGCCGGUGCUAUAGCAGCUACCAUUUACAUACCUCAGGCUUUCAAGGCAUACUUAAUGUUGCCUGCUCAUUCAAUCUUUGCCUUAUGGUUACUUUUUGAGGCCAAAAAGUUGGACAAAGCAAAUUAUGUCCCGGAAGCGGCUGGACGCUUUUAUGGAUUUCUUUGGAAGCUUCUUACGUUGGAGCUCCUCUUAUUUCCUUUUAUGUAGUAAAUUAGUUGCCAAUUAACUAUAAGUUUUCUCAUAUGGGGUGAGGGACAAAGUGAAUUGUGUGAGUAAUAUUGUUAAAAAAUAAUCACUUAUAUUUCUUUUAAUUUCAAAAAAUAGGCAUUCGAGACUACUUUUAGGAAUCUAAAUUUCAUAAAGAGAUAUGCGACCAAUGUGUUGUAAUUAAGCAAUAAUUGUGUUGUAAUUUAUUCUUUUAUUUUGAGAUGAUUUUAAUAAAAAAA